RNAcentral lists this ribosomal RNA (890 nucleotides) under uncultured archaeon. RNAcentral's name for it is "bacterial SSU rRNA". It matches the Rfam family "Archaeal small subunit ribosomal RNA", at positions 57 to 922 of the family's 1478-position model. The record is from RNAcentral.
GUCGAGCGACUCUAAGCCACGGUAGAGACGCGGCAUACGGCUCAGUAACACGUGGCUAACCUACCUUUCAGGACGGCGACAACCCCGGGAAACUGGGGCUAAUCCCCGAUAGGUGAAGACGCCUGGAAUGACUCUUCACUCAAAGGGUGUUGAGAGCAUGCUUUUCGACGUCGCCUGAAGAUGGGGCCGCGACCGAUCAGGCAGUUGGCGAGGUAAAGGCUCACCAAACCAAUAACCGGUACGGGCCGUGAGAGCGGGAGCCCGGAGAUGGACACUGAGACAAGGGUCCAGGCCCUACGGGGCGCAGCAGUUACGAAAACUCCACAAUGCACGAAGUGCGAUGGGGCUAACCCGAGUGCCGUCCGCUGAGGAUGGCUUUUCUCCGCUGUAAGGAGGCAGAGGAAUAAGGAGAGGGCAAGACUGGUGUCAGCCGCCGCGGUAAUACCAGCUCUCCGAGUGGUAGGGACGAUUAUUGGGCUUAAAGCGUCCGUAGCCGGCUCGGCAAGUCUCUCGUUAAAUCCAGCAACUCAAUUGUUGGACUGCAAGAGAUACUGUCAGGCUAGGAGACGGAAGAGGCCGACGGUAUUCUCGGGGUAGGGGUGAAAUCCUAUAAUCCCGGGAGGACCACCAGUGGCGAAGGCUGUCGGCUAGAACGCGCUCGACGGUGAGGGACGAAAGCUGGGGGAGCGAACCGGAUUAGACACCCGGGUAGUCCCAGCUGUAAACGAUGCGGGCUAGGUGUUGGGGUGGCUACGAGCCACUUCAGUGCCGCAGCGAAGGCAUUAAGCCCGCCGCCUGGGGAGUACAGCCGCAAGGCUGAAACUUAAAGGAAUUGGCGGGGGAGCACCACCAGGGGUGAAGCUUGCGGUUUAAUUGGAGUCAACGCCGGG